AGCUUGCUUUAGAUUAGUUAGUGGCAAACGGGUGAGUAACGCAUAGGAAUUUUCCCAUCAGUAUGGAAUAACAUUUAGAAAUAAGUGCUAAUACCAUAUAUUCUCUUAGGAGGAAAGAUUUAUCGCUGAUGGAUAAGCCUAUGUCAGAUUAGGUAGUUGGUAGGGUAAUGGCCUACCAAGCCAAUGAUCUGUAGCUGGUCUGAGAGGAUGAUCAGCCACACUGGGACUGAGACACGGCCCAG
This 242-nucleotide ribosomal RNA is filed under the name uncultured bacterium. Its description in RNAcentral is "partial 16S ribosomal RNA". It matches the Rfam family "Bacterial small subunit ribosomal RNA", at positions 77 to 334 of the family's 1533-position model. The record is from RNAcentral.